UACGUAGGGUGCGAGCGUUGUCCGGAUUUAUUGGGCGUAAAGGGCUCGUAGGCGGCGUGUCGCGUCGGGAGUGAAAGCCCGUUGCUUAACGGCGGGUUGGCUUUCGGUACGGGCAUGCUGGAGUGCGGCAGGGGAGACUGGAAUUCCUGGUGUAGCGGUGGAAUGCGCAGAUAUCAGGAGGAACACCGGUGGCGAAAGCGCGUAACUGGGGCAUAACUGACGCUGAGGAACGAAAGCCAGGGGAGCGAAAGGG
This 253-nucleotide ribosomal RNA is filed under the name uncultured bacterium. RNAcentral describes it as "partial 16S ribosomal RNA". It matches the Rfam family "Bacterial small subunit ribosomal RNA", at positions 524 to 776 of the family's 1533-position model. The record is from RNAcentral.